AUCAAAUCGCAAACACGUCCUGGCCUUCUUCCUAGAGUGAUGGCCUCAUGUCCUCCAUUGCAGCCGCCAGCCGCCGCCGUCCCUCCCUCCGUCGCAGCCGCCUGGCACCGCGGCCGCCCCCUCUCCUCCAUCUCAGCCGCCAGAAUCCGCGGCCGACACCUAUCCUCCAUCGCAGCCGCCACCGCCCCUCCCUCCGUCGCAGCCGCUAGCCGCCGCGGCCGCUCGUGCUCCUCCGUCGCAGCCGCCAGACGCCGCCGCCUCCCCUCCCUCCGUUGUCUCCGCCAGCCACCGCCGCCCCCUCCCCCCACCCCCUCCCCUCCGUCACAGGGAUCACCGGGAGAGUCACAGACGAACGGAUCGGCCGGAGUGUCGCUGGGAUCGCCGGGAGAAUUCAGCACCUACCCCCUACAUGACGCGGACGCGUUUCUGGCUCCUCGUUCACGUAGCCUCCUUCGAUCGUCGGACAACAAGCUGCGAGAAGAAGCUCUAUGAUGGGUGCAUUUGAAGUUUGAUCAUGGAGAACACCAGGGAGACAGCGUUCACCCUCGAGAAGAUGGCACUGAACAAGGCUAAGAGGUACCUGGAGGAUGUCCUUGCUCACAAGCAAGCCAUUCCCUUCCAUAGGUACUGCCGUGGUGUUGGAUGUACUGCACAAGCUAAGAACUGCCAGCCAAAUGGUCAUGGACGCUGGCCAGCCAAGUCUGCUCAGUUUGUUCUGGAUCUUCUCAAGAAUGCUGAGAGCAAUGCUGAGGUCUGUGAUCUUACUGUGCCCCCCAAUUGCAGCCUACAUGUCUAACCCGUGCCACAUUGAACUCAUCUUAUCCGAGAAGAGCCACUAAAUAAAGUGGUUGAGUCCGAGAUUGCACCCAGGAAGGCCUAGAGGAAGAAAUCUUGGCUUAAUUGUCCGCUUAUUCGUUAGAGCAGCUUGUAGUAUCUGGUUUUGGCAGAGUGGAAAUUUUUGCCUGUUAUCAUAUGUCAUCGUCUAAAUACUGCUAGAUAAUACUUUGUGAACCAUUGAUGACCCUCCUGUGUACCAGAUCGAAUCUGGUUGUGUUUUGGGAUAUUUUUCA
Molecule: non-coding RNA, 1070 nt
Organism: Lolium perenne
Lineage: Eukaryota; Viridiplantae; Streptophyta; Magnoliopsida; Poales; Poaceae
Source: RefSeq, a predicted model, not a curated record